RNAcentral lists this long non-coding RNA (1142 nucleotides) under Oncorhynchus kisutch (coho salmon). RNAcentral describes it as "lncRNA (ENSOKIG00005035721.1)". Lineage: Eukaryota; Metazoa; Chordata; Actinopteri; Salmoniformes; Salmonidae. The record is from RNAcentral.
GAAAGCACAUGAUAUGGUAUUUCGUGGCACGGUCUCACACCUUACCUCAUCUUGCAGAAGAAGCUCAUGGUCCACUAUCUGCUGCUCCAGAGUCAAGGCCAGGUCCCUCCCCAUGUCACCAUGGAGCACAUGAGCAACUGGCUGGUGUCUCAGGGCAAAAAAUCCCUUAGGGAGAGGUGAGCACCACGUCAGCACUCACCUUCACUGCCAUUCCCUGCCACCAGCAGCACUAAAGGAGGUGUGGGUAAAAUAAACAUCAGAAAAAUCAGAAGCCAGGAAAGUUGAAUUGCUCUGUGUUUUAUUUGAAGGGUGUGGAAGGAAACCCUGGAGGAGGGAAACGACCUCGCUCGGCUGGUAAGAGAAUGAGAGUUAGAGACAUACUACAAGUUAGUGAGCUCUUUACUAGCCUUUCAACAACGAGUUAGCACAGCAGAAUAGAUCUGUUGUGAAAUUACACUAAUGGGACUUCCUGUUGCGUACUGCAGGCCUGGGAAGUAAACACUUGCCUAAAAAUGAUGAACAUAGAGCACGAGGCUUUCUGCAAGCUCCGCCGCUCCAUGCACCCCACCUCGCCAGCUGACAUCGAUCCUAAGGUCCACAGCAUCGUGGAGAGAGCUGUGAGGAGCAUUCUGGGCGAGCAGUCCAAAGAGCCCAGUAGCAACUUGCUCAGCCCAUCUCAGGUGGUGGUUGAGGUGGUGCCCAGGCUCCUCCUGGCCCUGUGGCUUCAGCCAGAGGAAGGCCAUUCAGAGCACCCAAUCCUAAUAGGUGGGAUGGCCGUGGGCAUGGUGGCGGCCGUAGUGGAGAAGCUCUCCUGCAUGUUAAAGGACCCUUCCCCUCACAUCCCUUUCUCCCGGGCUGCUGCUUUUGACUCUGUGUGGUCGAUCCUCGGGAGAAUCAGUCAGUCCUUCUCCACCGAUGACCUGCAGAGCCCUUUUUAUACGAGCUCUGUUUGUGCCUUUGUGGCGGACGAGGUGCAGAGCUGCUUCCAGCCCCCUGCAGCCACCCUACCAGUCCCCCCUGUCCUCGCGGUGGCCGCUUCCACCACACUACCAGCUGACAUCCAAGCAGGUGAGUAGCACUGAUAGAGAGCACUCUGACAGAUGCCUGUUCUGAUGACAUCUUGGUUCCUUGUAGUAGUAGAG